This is a regulatory RNA element of Anaerosporobacter mobilis DSM 15930, 168 nucleotides long. The record is from Rfam. Lineage: Bacteria; Bacillati; Bacillota; Clostridia; Lachnospirales; Lachnospiraceae.
UAGCGUAACACCUAUAGUACUUCUUAGUGUGUACUUAGUAACUUAGGAAGGCGAGGCAUGGACGCCGAGCCAGCCUGAGCUGAGGCGCAGGAGGCCGAAUCGAGGGCGGUUCCGUACCUACUGUACAAACUUGUUGUACACACAUAGAAGUACUUAGGUGAGUAGCGU